Mesocricetus auratus (golden hamster) is the source of this 461-nucleotide non-coding RNA. The record is from the annotation of a RefSeq genome assembly. Lineage: Eukaryota; Metazoa; Chordata; Mammalia; Rodentia; Cricetidae.
UUUCCUCUUCACAGCUACUGAACACACAGGUCCGCACCAUGGGAUGGAGCUGGAUCAUCCUCUUCCUUGUGUCAGUAAUUACAGGCGUCCAAUCACAUGUCCAGCUGCAGCAGUCUGGGCCUGAGCUUGGCAAACCUGGUUCCUCAGUCAAGUUGUCAUGCAAGGCUUCAGGCUACACCUUCACUGGCUACAAUAUUGGCUGGGUGAAACAAAGGCCUGGACAGGGCCUGGAGUGGAUUGGACGGAUUGGUACAUCAAGUGGUAAUACUGAAUACACACAGAAGUUCCAGGGCAAGGCCACGCUGGCUAGCGACAUAUCCUCCAGCACUGCCUACAUGGAGCUCAGCAGUCUGACAUCUGAGGACUCUGCCAUCUAUUUCUGUGCAAGACACACAGUGUUGCAACCACAUCCUGAGUGUGAAAGAAACCCUGCAAGAGGAGGAAACUGCCCUUGGACUUAG